This 468-nucleotide ribosomal RNA is filed under the name uncultured bacterium. RNAcentral's name for it is "bacterial SSU rRNA". It matches the Rfam family "Bacterial small subunit ribosomal RNA", at positions 8 to 521 of the family's 1533-position model. The record is from RNAcentral.
AGAGUUUGAUCAUGGCUCAGAACGUACGCUGGCGGCACGCCUAACACAUGCAAGUCGGACGAAGUAGCAAUACUUAGUGGCAGACGGGUGAGUAACAUGUAGGUAUCUGCCCUUUGGCCUGGAAUAACACGAGGAAACUUGUGCUAAUACCGGAUAAGUCUUUACGGAGAAAGCUUUAUGCACCAUUGGAUGAGCCUGCACUUGAUUAGUUUGUUGGUGGGGUAAUGGCCUACCAAGACUGUGAUCAAUAGCUGAUUUGAGAGGAUGAUCAGCCACAUUGGGACUGAGACACGGCCCAAACUCCUACGGGAGGCAGCAGUGGGGAAUCUUGCACAAUGGAGGAAACUCUGAUGCAGCGAUGCCGCGUGAGUGAAGAAGGCCCUUGGGUUGUAAAGCUCUUUCGUCGGGGAAGAAAAUGACUGUACUCGAAUAAGAAGGUCCGGCUAACUUCGUGCCAGCAGCCGCGGU